ACAGAUACAUUUUUUUUAUUUUGUUUCUUCACCUUCAUCAAUAAACAAACAAGAAAUUCGAGAAAACGCGAUAAAUUCCAAAACGCAAACCCUAUUUCGUCAGGUACACGCUUAAAACUCAGGCCAACUUGCAAACUUUAACCCCCCUCCCCCCCAAAUUGAAUAACGACACAGAAAUGGUGCGACCAAAACGUGAAAACAAAAAAGUGGCGGCGAACACUGCCGCUUCUGCAGGCAGGCCGUGGGUGCGGUCGUUGGCUCUUUCAUUAUCGAUUUGUCUGUGUGCUGUGGAGAGAGAAACUGCUUGUAGGCCAGCUGUUAACGCCGACCUGUGAGCAAGCGAAUCGGCACAUUGAUAAGCACCGCAAACCUCUUGUUUCGGUACUUUUUCGUCGUGCUCUGGAGUUUACAUCACAGAGCAGAUGCCCUUGCGCUGAAAGGGGGCUACAGUGCAUUUUUCGAAGACAAGGGUGAGAGGGCAGCAAGCAACUGACGGCACAGUGCUCAUCUUCUCUCUUGCCUUCAGGCUCCGUGGCUGACUGGCGACCAUCGCAGCAGCAGCCAUCCACGCUGGCAUUGAUUUCUACGGGCUCAUCAUCAUUCUUUUGGAUUCCCUUCCUUUUUCUUUGGACUCCUCGCUCUCGUUUGGUGGUUGGGGCAG
This 661-nucleotide unclassified non-coding RNA is filed under the name Leishmania donovani. RNAcentral describes it as "gene:unknown". Lineage: Eukaryota; Euglenozoa; Kinetoplastea; Trypanosomatida; Trypanosomatidae. The record is from RNAcentral.